UACGUAGGCAGCGAGCGUUGUUCGGAGUUACUGGGCGUAAAGGGUGUGUAGGCGGUCCUCUAAGUUUGGUGUGAAAUCUCCCGGCUCAACCGGGAGGGUGCGCCGAAAACUGGAGGGCUAGAGUGCGGGAAGGGAGAGUGGAAUUCCUGGUGUAGCGGUGAAAUGCGCAGAUAUCAGGAGGAACACCAAUUGCGAAGGCAGCUCGCUGGGACGUAACUGACGCUGAGACGCGAAAGCGUGGGGAGCAAACAGG
Molecule: ribosomal RNA, 253 nt
Filed under: uncultured bacterium
Lineage: Bacteria
Description: partial 16S ribosomal RNA
Rfam family: Bacterial small subunit ribosomal RNA
Source: RNAcentral